GAGGGGCUUUCAGUGUAGCUGCUAAGGGGAUUCCUCGGAAGGGCAUGAAGGACAGCCACGAGAACAGGGCUAAAGCGCUAACACUGGAAAAGAACUAGUAUGCUGGGAGAAGUUAAAGAGCGAAAUAAGAAAUAAGCUAAUCCUGCACUUCUAC
RNAcentral lists this long non-coding RNA (154 nucleotides) under Mustela putorius furo (domestic ferret). Its description in RNAcentral is "lncRNA (ENSMPUG00000026780.1)". Lineage: Eukaryota; Metazoa; Chordata; Mammalia; Carnivora; Mustelidae. The record is from RNAcentral.